RNAcentral lists this ribosomal RNA (249 nucleotides) under uncultured bacterium. Its description in RNAcentral is "partial 16S ribosomal RNA". It matches the Rfam family "Bacterial small subunit ribosomal RNA", at positions 1251 to 1500 of the family's 1533-position model. The record is from RNAcentral.
AAAGCCGCGAGGCAGAGCGAACCCCCAAAAGCCGUCUCAGUUCGGAUCGCAGGCUGCAACCCGCCUGCGUGAAGUCGGAAUCGCUAGUAAUCGCGGAUCAGCAUGCCGCGGUGAAUACGUUCCCGGGCCUUGUACACACCGCCCGUCGCACCAUGAGAGUCGGGAACACCCGAAGUCCGUAGCCUAACCGCAAGAGGGGCGCGGCCGAAGGUGGGUUCGAUAAUUGGGGUGAAGUCGUAACAAGGUAAC